RNAcentral lists this long non-coding RNA (702 nucleotides) under Olea europaea (common olive). RNAcentral's name for it is "long non-coding RNA (OEUR_LNC000153)". Lineage: Eukaryota; Viridiplantae; Streptophyta; Magnoliopsida; Lamiales; Oleaceae. The record is from RNAcentral.
AUAAGAACUUGAAUUUCGCCGAUUAAUAAAUUUGAUAUUUUAUGUUGAAAUUCGACAAUCAAUUGAAGGAAAAAAAAUAAUGACUAAUCGUAAAAUAAAAAUUUAUGCAAUAUGUCAAAUAUAUAAAAUAGAUAUUUAUUGUUGAAUUUAAAGAGUCAAUUUGAGGUCUAAUCCACUUGAUCGGCUAACCUCUUCAUCUUUCUUAAUAAUAUUACAUGGAGGCGGCAACACGGAAGAAGGCCUUCUAUACUUAACCUCCGCUGUAAAAUCUUCCCAAUGAAACGCCGGCACCCAGGCGGCGGCAGCGGCGGAAUUACGCUUGCAUUCGUCUGUUUCUGAAUCGGACAUCCUCUUUCUCUUAUUUUUCCCCUUAUACGUAUUAUCUUUCAAUUGAUUCCUCACGUCCUUGAAAUUUUUGAUCAAUGCGAAGAAUUCCUCGAUCUUCUUCUCAUCGUCUUCUUCAACUUCUCCGGCAUUCCUCUCUGCAAUGUGCUUCUCGUUUUCCAUUUUCAGAAAUGCUCAAAAAGAAGAAAACACGCGUUCCUCAAUGUUGACGUCUUUAGCAUUAUCCCUAUUCGAUGAAUUUAUAGCGUGAUGGUCUGCGAAUUAUUUUAUAUUAAAAGACGGAGCUGCCCUUGCUAAUAUUUUUAUUUGGUAAACAGAAUCACAGGUCAGCGGAUCACGUCAUAUACGCAUACGUAA